UUAUUAGCAAUACCAAGAUAAGUUAUUGAAGCAUUUUUAGUAUUGUUUUACAUUCCAUUCAUAAAUGACCUAACUUGUAACUCAGCAUACAGCACACUUAAAGAUAUAGUUUGACACUUAUUCAGAAAGCUACAAUUAUGAUAACUUACAUGCCUUCAUUACCAGGAACACCUUAAUAUAUCUUCUAAUUACUUCAACAAUACUCUAUUCCAAAGCACAUGAUAACCCAGUACAAGUUUACACAUUUUGCUUCAAUCACCAUUUUUUUUUUUUAAGUUGUGAAUGUCAAGGUGCUGUUCGCUGGAAUUUUACUGUCAUCUGUUCCUGGUUAAUACGACGACCUGACACAAUAUUAAACUAGCAAUGUUUCUGCUUAAAUACUAUGGAGAAAGAUAAUUACUGCACUUUUCUGUAUUCUUCUAAAAGUGUUACAAAAUACAGGACAAUCAGACACAAGUGGUAAUGCCCACAAGACCACCACGGGGGGCCCCCCUUUAUAAACUCAGGUGAGCUGGUAGUACAGACCCCCAGCCAGGUGUUUUAUAAGUGAAGGGACCUGCCAUCCAUCCACCAGCAUUUGUCACUCAGGAUUUAUGACUCGGAGGGAAUUUUCUCUCCCGUACAAGUUAGGAAGUCUACACAAUCCAUGACUAAUAGUGGAACAUAUGGGGCAAUAUUUUUAGCCUCCCUGAUUCUUUGCUAUAUAUACUGUAGGUUGGUGUGCCGUGUGUAUACACAUACCUAUGCCAAUAGUAAUUAUUUAUUCAACACACAUAUGUGUAUACAUUCUUCUCUUGAUUUUACACGAUUAAAAGCUUCAGAUAACCACCGAAGAGCACGAACAGACAAGGGCAAGUCCAGAUAGACCGACUAGGACAGGGGGGUCACUUACCUGCAAGAAAAUUGCAGAUUCGUUAAACAAUCCAGAAACCACAUGGGCUAGAGGCAUUUGAAAACUAGGGCAGGGCCACAUCUCCUAAUUGUUUAAUAGAAUAAUGACAAUAAAGCAAUAUUUAUAACAUUUGGUCCUUCCGUCUCUGGCAAAUGCAAGAAUAGUCUACAUGAUUAGAGCAGGUUGGCAAUUAGACGUAGAGGUGCUGUUGAUCAGCACUAAGUAAUAGGAGAUAAUUACUACUUAUUUGAAACCUGGGCUGUGCACACAUCUGAGAAGGAAAAAAAGGAAGAAAGAACCUGAUUCUCUCAGCUGCUAACAUGUGGCCUGAAUCUAGAUCCUGUCCGUUCCUACCCUCACCUCCAUUCAGCAGCCUCAGGAGGUAGGAGCCAAAGCUUAAACCCAGGGAAUCUGCCUGCAUCCAACAUAAGACAUCCAUGAAGCCACACAACUUCUAAUUUAGAUGGUGGUGCCUGGUACUGGAGAAUUUGCAUUUCUCCGGGGACCUGAGUAUCUGUUCUGACAACACUCUCUUCUCUCAAAAUUCUCUUCCUCCCUCCCCCAAUAUGAAGGCAUUACCAGGAAAAAAUAAUAAAUACAUAUGCAUAUUUUGAACCAAAGAGCUUGGUUGCUCUCUCCUGUCUCUCAGACUUGAUUCUGGGCAGUAGGCAUCAUGUGAUCCAAGGAGAAUAUGGACACAACAACCGACAUUAACACUACAAGACUUUUCUCCUGCUUCAGAGGCACUGUUGAUUCAGACAGUAGCUUUUGGAGCCAAAAAUAUGCAGCAAAAGGAAAGGAACAUAAACAAGGCUAAAUGUCACCAGUGUUUGCCGACAUACAGACACCAUCCAUUUGUUUGUUCUGAAAUGACGAGUGGACCAUUUGGCAAAUUCAAUGGUAUUCACACAACAGUUCUGUCAUCCCGCAGUGCAAGUGACAUCACAUCAGUGGCAUUCCCAUUUCAUUUAAAAAGAGAGACUGGGAAAAGGAGAAGGAGAAGAAAGCCAAAAGAUUUUGGAAAGGGCUGCCAUCCAAAGAGGCCGCCUCUUUGUCAAAAGUGGUGUGCAGAGCACAGCUCUGGAUGAGGGAAGAGGAGAGAGAGAGG
RNAcentral lists this long non-coding RNA (2000 nucleotides) under Heterocephalus glaber (naked mole-rat). RNAcentral's name for it is "lncRNA (ENSHGLG00100042074.1)". Lineage: Eukaryota; Metazoa; Chordata; Mammalia; Rodentia; Bathyergidae. The record is from RNAcentral.